Molecule: ribosomal RNA, 432 nt
Filed under: uncultured bacterium
Lineage: Bacteria
Description: bacterial SSU rRNA
Rfam family: Bacterial small subunit ribosomal RNA
Source: RNAcentral
UCGAGAAUCUUCGGCAAUGGGCGCAAGCCUGACCGAGCGACGCCGCGUGGAGGAUGAAGGCCUUCGGGUUGUAAACUCCUGUCGAGGGGGAGGAAGCCGCAAGGUUGACCGAUCCCUGGAGGAAGCACGGGCUAAGUUCGUGCCAGCAGCCGCGGUAAGACGAACCGUGCGAACGUUAUUCGGAAUCACUGGGCUUAAAGCGCGUGUAGGCGGGCCGCCACGUCGGCUGCUGAAAUCCCCCGGCUCAACCGGGGAACGGGCACCGAUACGGGCGGCCUCGAGGGGGGUAGGGGGACCUGGAACUUCCGGUGGAGCGGUGAAAUGCGUUGAGAUCGGAAGGAACGCCCGUGGCGAAAGCGAGGUCCUGGACCCUUUCUGACGCUGAGACGCGAAAGCCAGGGGAGCGAACGGGAUUAGAUACCCCCGUAGUCC